RNAcentral lists this long non-coding RNA (781 nucleotides) under Solanum tuberosum (potato). RNAcentral's name for it is "long non-coding RNA (STUB_LNC002921)". Lineage: Eukaryota; Viridiplantae; Streptophyta; Magnoliopsida; Solanales; Solanaceae. The record is from RNAcentral.
UACAAUCAAAUAUUGCAGAUGAUAAAUAAAUCCAACACAAAUGAGUCUAGUGCAAAUAUGACAGGUAUAUUUGCAGGUACUUCCUCUUGUAAUGAUGUUGUUAGAUGUUGUUUCAAUUGGAUAGUAGAUAGUGGGGCAACCAAUCAUAUGGUUAGUUCUAAAACACUACUGAAUCGUGAUUCCACAGUGAAUCCAGGAAAAGUUCAAAUAGCUACAGGUGACUCAGCAACUAUUACACACUCAGGAAGUUCUCAACUAACAGGAGGUGAAGUUAUUGAGGAUGUAUUUUGUGCGCCAGAAUUUAAAUUCAAUCUCUUAUCAGUGUCUAAGUUGACUAGGGAGUUGAAUUGUUGUGUUGUAUUUUUCCCUGAUUUCUUUAUCCUUCAGGAUCUCUUCACUGGGAAAGUGAAGGAGAUUGGUAAAGAGGAAGAUGGAUUAUAUCUGCUGAGGCCUCGAAAUCCAGUUCAAACACAACAAGGAGCAAGUUCAUUAGUAGCUUGAGGCCUCGAAAUCCAUUUCAAACACAACAAGGAGCAAGUUCGUUAGUAGCAGCAAAAGGAUGUGAGAAUGAUGUCACUUGGCAUAAGAGAUUAGGGCAUGUGCCUAUGAAUGUGAUUAGAAAAAUUAGUAUGCUUAAGCUCAAUAAGAGUCCAACUAUGACUCAUUGUGAUGUAUGUCCACUAGCUAGACAAAUCAGAUUGCCUUUUCGAUCAUGCAGUAGUAGAAGUACUAGAUGUUUUGAUUUGGUUCAUUUGGAUGUAUGGGGACCUUAUAAAGCAAC